Molecule: long non-coding RNA, 4296 nt
Filed under: Pelobates cultripes (western spadefoot toad)
Lineage: Eukaryota; Metazoa; Chordata; Amphibia; Anura; Pelobatidae
Source: RNAcentral
AAGUAAUGGCCAAAGAAAAAAGAAUAGGGACGGGGGAGAGUAAAGGUACAUGAAUGCUAGGGGAUUGAUUAGUUUGGAGAGAGAGAUGUCCACGUUGAAUUGCAGAUUUCUCCUUGUUGAAGAGAGAUGAGGACUUGAAGACAAGAAGACCUCAAGUCAAUCCUGCUGACCACAAUCACAAAAGAACAUUGGCCAUGUGUAGGACAGGUAAUGGAAUUUUGAGACAUUCUGAUAAUGGUGAUAACUAGGGAAUGAAGUGGUUGAAUUGGUGUAUUCACAAAAAAGUAAGAUGCCAAUGGGUUUACAAAUUACAGGGCAAAAACAUGUUGUGUUUUCCUUUACAGUUCUAGGUUCCACCUGUUUUUGGGAGAUACAUGAAUAGCGCUGCUUGACAGUAUGUAGAAUUCAGAUAUAUUCAAUAACAAGUUUGACUAGUACUUAACUACUAUCUAGUCCGUUUAGUUACUCUUAAAGGACAACUGAUCAAACUGUUUUUAACAUAAUGACCCUUUCAUCAUGUUUUGAAAAAACAAAAAUAUAUAUAAUUUAAUUUUAUUUAUUUUUUGUUAUGACGUAUAUGUUAAAAAAAAAAAGAGAGAGAGAAAUCCAUCCCCACCUUUAGUAUGUGAAGUAUCCUUCGGCCAUAUACAUGCAACUUUGGACAGACAGUCUCUAUGGUCUUCCUUGCCUCAUUCCCUGCACAGAAACAGGGAAGACCAUAGAGACUAACUGUAUGUUUUCAUACACUGUUUGACUCAAGGUGCAUGUAUAUGGCUGAAGGAUCAUGUCAUUUGCUAAAGGCAGGGAUGAGUUAUUCUCCUUGUUUUUUCCUCAGAUACUUCAUUUAAAAGACUUUUUAAAACAUGACGAAACGAUUAUCAAAAAAUCAUACCAUUAAAAUAAUUUUUGGGGUGAUAGCUGUUCUUUAUUGUUUUUCCUGACAGUAAAUGGAACUCUGAACUCUCUGAGAAAACAUGGCCGAGCUAGUUUUUUUUUAGAUACAUCCUGUUGUUGCCAAGACAAUUUUUUUUUUUUUAAAUGUAGAAUGAUGUUUUCUCAGAGCUCUGGGUAAUUUGUACAAUUGACAAAUCUUUAUCAAUCACUAAUAAAAAUAGACAAUGGUUUUAUUUAAAUGAUGACUAGGUUAAGGAAAAUGGAAAACAGUAGAUUAAAAUGAAACUCUCACUUCCCGGGACUUUUUAAAUUGUGUUUACUUAUCCCCUACAUUUAACAAAUAUGUAUUUGUGAGGUGUGAAAAAUUAAAUAAAAUGAAGAUAUCCACACCUCUUUGUCAUUCAUCUGGAUUCCUCCAUUUUACCUCCCUGUCAAUCUGUGUCAGAGGACAGAAGACAGGCUGAAAGAACAUGGUGGCGUCAGCAAGGCACAGGUUUAAGUAAACGAAGCUCACCUUCUCGUGCCCUCCCAGCAGCGUUGUAACCGACGAGGGUGUUUGUGAAUUUAGCAAAUUGUCCCCACAUGGUGACAGUGCCAUUUUAAGACCAAGAGAGCUGCACUGAAGAUAAAUGUAUUUAUUUUUAUUUAUUUUUUAAUAGAAUUACAAUAUAAAUGGACAUAACUCUAUACAUUUUGUUACUUGUUGCUAAAAAAAAAAAAAUUGAGCUAACAGUUCCGAACAUUCCUCACUGGAUAGUGAUGGUGAACCUUUAGAAGUAAAACUGUGUAAGUAAUCUCAGGUUAGUUGGAUAGAAUGGCAAACUGCAUCUUGCAUUGUAACUUUCACUGACUGUUUUAUAUUUUAUUGAUACAUCGUUCAAACUAGCAAACGUUAUUUCUGGUAACCAAGCGCCCCCUACUGUAACCAAGCUGUAUUGACAUGCAAACAGCAAAGGAACACUAUAGCGUUAGCACUAUAAACCUGUAUUUCUAACACUAUCGUGUCCCUCUACAGGGACAUUGCAUCCAGACCACUUCAAUUAGCUGACGUGGUCUGAGUGUCUAUGGUGCCCUUCUAAUAUUUGAAAAAUCCAGCCUCCUUUUGCAAGAAACCUACUACUAUAAAUACUAGCUUUAAUCUUUAAUAUAACUUUUUUUCUGAGGAAUUUUACACCUACCACUUGCAGUAAUAUUCGCUAAAGUGUGAAUUGCUGGUAAUGCAAAGUGAAAUUAAUGUGAAUUAAAAAUUUGAGGUCAAUCGUCGAGCUGGAAACUUAGUUGUCUUUGUAAAUGCUCCCCUUAAUUUUUCUAUGUAAUAUUUUAAUGUUUAUCUGGGAUAGGAACGUGCACAUUUGUUCCCCAUCAAUUCCUAUUUUAAUAUCAGCUAUACGUUUGAUGACAACUUAUUAUUGCCCUCCUCACACUGCUAUUGGUGAGAGUGCCAUAAAACUGCACAGUUUAAUGAUUGAUAAAUACCUUCACCAAUGGCAGUUAGCUCUAAUUGUCUCCUAUUGCAACCGUAUGGUUUGAGUCAGAAUGCAGUCACCGUCUGUCCUCUCUCUCAGGGUACUAGGUAGGAAUUCCGCUAGUUAUGAACUAUUACAUAUUGCUAAAUAAAAGUUCACUACUAGCAGAACUCGGCCGAGUACUGCACUAGCAGCUAGAGGACAGAGCCGGAGAAGGAUGACCUGUUUUGCCAAAAGUCAUCUUACCCUCUCUCGUAGCAUUGAGCAGUUGACCUGGGUACCACAACCUUGUGUUUUUCAUUUAAGGUUCUGGUAGGACUGGUGCCUGUUCUGUGCCUCGUAGGGUGCUCUGUAGGUUUGCUCCAACAAAGCCAGUGGUAGGCAGCCUUCCACACUCCAGAUGUUGUGGACUAUAUCUCCCCUGAUGCUUUGCCAGCGUCAUGGCUGUCAGAGCAUUAUGGGAGAUGAAGUCCAGAACAGUCCAAAACUGUAUACUUUUCCAAAAAUGCUGAAGGAUACAGCUUGCUGUAAUGUAACUUACACAGUUAGCACAGACAUUUCUUAACAAUUGGCUCAGAUUUAGUUCUAUAGUUUAUUUACAGUCAGGAUUAUUCUCUAACGCAGGGGUCCUCAAACUCCGGCCCUCCAGAUGUUGCUGAACUACAAGUUCCAUGAUUCUCUGGCUAUCUGUGUAAUUCAAAGAAGCAUGGGAGUUGUAGUUCAGCAACAUCUGGAGGGCUACAGUUUGAGGACCCCUGCUCUGACGUGUGAACUGUCGUUUUGGAAAAUUUUGCGCCAAAUUGAAUACAAACGUGAUUUUUUUUUCAAACUGACAAUCAUUACCUGAAAUUUGAAAUUCACUAUAAAGUCACUUUAAAUUUCUGACAUUUCACAUGUUUGUGAAUAACCCUUAUUGUUUAAUGGGGAGAAAUAGCAACCUUAAUUUAAUUAAAGGCAACUUACAUCUAUCACCUGAACUGACCACCGAUUGCUACCAUUUUCAAAAUAUCAAGUUCCCAUGAUUCGUUGCACACAUGCGUGCAAAAUGCCUUAACUUGAAGUCAUGAGUUUUAUUUAAAAUCCAUUAAAUUAUGUUUCACGGAAAACUUCAUAGUGAACCCACCAUAAAAUUUAAUUUAGAAAACAUAAAUAGAUACAGUAUAAUAUCUCUUCUGGUGUAAAAAUAAUUAGUGAUUUUUUUGUGGUGUAUAAAAAUGUCUUAAAGUUGUAGGUUUUGGUUAACGUAAAAGGGUGCGAAAUGCGUAUACUGCUGUUAUCUCUAAUUUUGCAAGGCCGUAAGUUACUGAAUGAAUUUUAAUACCCAUAUGUGGGAGAAUAGAGAAGAUUAACAUUUCUAUUUUGAAACCCAGUUGCUGUCAUCCGUCUGUUUUGUGCAUUCGUUUGUGUGGUUGGACCACCACAUCCCAUACAAGAUUGGGGUCACUGCAGAAAACCAGGUAUGAGCUGCCUGUGGAUUUAAGUCCUGUGUGCAUUUAUUACUCCAACAUUUGUGGAUAAUUUAUUUUAUUUGGAGACAGUUAGCCCCUUAAGGACAUAGCUUCAGAAGUAAAAGGCCAGUAUGACAAUUUUUCCAUCUUGUGUCCUUAAGGGGUUAAAAGUUUACAUUGAAGCUGUAAUCUCUCGUUUGAACAGAUAUCAUUAUAAAGCUUGGGAUUUUUUUGUCGACUAUUGCUUUCUUAUUUUUUUAUAAUUUACUUGUUGAUUGUAUUAUUCACUGUUGAUAUUUUGUGAUUUGUUCAUUAAAGCUAACUUUCUUGAUAGACCUUCUGGAUGCACAGACAGUUCAUCACCACUAGGAGGUGGUAAGGAGAAAAAAUGCUGCGAACACAACCAUAUCGUUAAUGAAGAUGUUCUGGUACUGAAGGUACUUGGGACUACGACUACCACAAUUCUUAGCCAGCUACCACAUAGAAAC